This 319-nucleotide ribosomal RNA is filed under the name uncultured organism. Its description in RNAcentral is "bacterial SSU rRNA". It matches the Rfam family "Bacterial small subunit ribosomal RNA", at positions 367 to 702 of the family's 1533-position model. The record is from RNAcentral.
CGCAAUGGGCGAAAGCCUGACGGAGCAAUACCGCGUGAAGGAUGAAGGCCUAUGGGUCGUAAACUUCUUUUCUCAGAGAAGAAUUUUGACGGUAUCUGAGGAAUAAGCAUCGGCUAACUCUGUGCCAGCAGCCGCGGUAAGACAGAGGAUGCAAGCGUUAUCCGGAAUGAUUGGGCGUAAAGCGUCUGUAGGUGGUUUACCAAGUCUUCUGUCAAAGAUCAGGGCUUAACUCUGGGCAGGCAGGAGAAACUAUUAGACUAGAGUUCGGUAGGGGCAGAGGGAAUUCCCGGUGGAGCGGUGAAAUGCGUAGAUAUCGGGA